RNAcentral lists this long non-coding RNA (748 nucleotides) under Setaria italica (foxtail millet). RNAcentral's name for it is "long non-coding RNA (SITA_LNC000069)". Lineage: Eukaryota; Viridiplantae; Streptophyta; Magnoliopsida; Poales; Poaceae. The record is from RNAcentral.
GCGUUUCCACCGCUUCGUGCCUCCGCAUUGCUAGUUCCUUGGGCGCCGCCUCGCAUCGUGCUCUGACUCGCUCCGCAUCAGGCAUCUGUUCCGCUGCUGUGAGCUCUGCUUUGGCAUGGACUCCAUGCCCAGGCUUCUUCGCGUUCGUGGCCGCAAGAAUACGGAGUCCACUGGACCCUAAGGUACGCACUAAUCUUUGAUCCUCUCCGAGACUCUGCUGAUCAAAUUGGUGAUUGGGUCUGCCGGUCUGGUAAUCGAGUUCAUCGAUUCGUGGAUGUGGUGACUCUAGCGUGGUUGUGCUGCAAACCGAGGAGAGGCUCCGAGCGCGGCAACAUCAAGGAUGGCGACGCGCACGACGCGGAAGCGAUCAGCCGAUCACACGAGGGACGAGCUCGGCGGCGCAGCUGUGAACUUCAUCGCUGCCGCUGAGGCAGCCGUACCGCAGUUCGCAGGCAGCCGCCGCUCGCCGCGAUGGUGUGGCCUUUUACAUCCAGGAGUCGGACGACGGAAGGAUAACGUGCAACUUAACGGAAUGGCAUCCGAGGGAUGAAAAUGCAAUUUCUGAUGGCAACGAAAGGAUGGCUAAACUUUGGACGGUACAUGGAGGAUGGCUAUAAUUUUGGAUGGCAUACAUGUAAUUUUCUCAAAAACUUGCCAAGCACCUUGAGACAAAGGAGUACUGCUCCCGGUCCCAGGAGGCCAGGACUGCAUACACACAAGUCACUUUGGGCAACUCAUGUCAUGUGUC